UAUUGGAAGUUUGAUCCUGGCUCAGAUCGAACGCUGGCGGCGUGCUUAACACAUGCAAGUCCAGCGGCACCGCCCGGCUCCCUGGCGGACAGCGGAGGACGGGUGAGUAACGUGUGGUAUUCUGCCUGUUAGCCGCGGAAAACUCGGGGAAACUCCGGAUAUUCCCUCAGACGCACUAAUUUGGAGCCCCGGGGUACCGAACGGGCUGGCGCUAAUAGAUGAUGCCAUGUCGGAUUAGCUAGUUGGUGAUGUAAUGGCUGUCCGAGGCGAUGAUCCGCAACUGGGCGGAUGAGACGACCACCCGCCCCGGAGGUGAGGCACCGUCGGGACUUCUUCGACAGGGAGCACUGGGGAGUAUUGGACAAUGCGGGAAACCCUGAUCCGCCUACGCCGCGUGGGGGAAUAACGCCUGCGGCUUGUAUGACCCUUUCUGUGGAUAAGACACACUUCAAGCUAAUGCCUCCAGGUUUUGACAUACCCCGCAGAAUAAGCAUCUUCUAACUCUCUGCCACCAGCCGCGCGCAUACAGAGGGUGUGAGUGUUGAUCGGAAUUACUGGGCGUAAAGCGCGCGUAGGCGGCUUUGCAAGUCGGUCUGUAAACUCCCCAGAGUUUAACCGGGAUAACUGCGUGUCGAGACUGAAUUUGCUAAGAUUAUGGGGAGAGAGGAACUGGAGGUGAACGCGGGUAUCUCUUGGACAUUGCCUUCGAUCAUCUGGAAGGGUACAAUACCUUGGCGGAAGACAACUUUCCUUGAGACCACCCACGGAAUGUCUCAUGCCGCCAAACCGCGUGAGAGAGUCUUAAUUAUGAAUAAAAUAUCCCUGGGUUGUGUCUCCCCCCUUAAACGGAUUAAAAACUUCGUCUGUCCGGGGGGGGUCCUGCCCCUCCGGGGUAAAUCGUCCAAGC
RNAcentral lists this ribosomal RNA (907 nucleotides) under uncultured bacterium. RNAcentral's name for it is "bacterial SSU rRNA". It matches the Rfam family "Bacterial small subunit ribosomal RNA", at positions 1 to 858 of the family's 1533-position model. The record is from RNAcentral.